RNAcentral lists this ribosomal RNA (276 nucleotides) under Triticum aestivum (bread wheat). RNAcentral describes it as "partial small subunit ribosomal RNA". Lineage: Eukaryota; Viridiplantae; Streptophyta; Magnoliopsida; Poales; Poaceae. The record is from RNAcentral.
AUGACGAUCCUGAGCUGGAACUGUCGGGGCCUUGGGCAGCCUCCUACAGUUCAAGAACUCGUGUGCCUUGUGCAUACCUAUAAGCCCAAGCUCGUCUUCCUCACUGAAACACGGCAAAACAAUAAGUACGUCAGUAACCUCAAGUGGUGACUAGGCCUCUGUCAUUGUAUCACGCAACCUGGCAUUGGAAAAGGUGCUGGCAUUGCGCUUUUUUAUGAUGAGAAUGUUGAAAUAAAGAAGAUUGCUGUUGGGGUGAGAUACAUUGAUGUGUUGAUC